GAAUGCUGACAUAAGUAACGAUAAAGCGGGUGAAAAGCCCGCUCGCCGGAAGACCAAGGGUUCCUGUCCAACGUUAAUCGGGGCAGGGUGAGUCGACCCCUAAGGCGAGGCCGAAAGGCGUAGUCGAUGGGAAACGGGUUAAUAUUCCCGUACUUGGUGUUACUGCGAAGGGGGGACGGAGAAGGCUAUGUUGGCCGGGCGACGGUUGUCCCGGUUUAAGCGUGUAGGUGUGUGUUCCAGGUAAAUCCGGUUCACUUUAACACUGAGGCGUGACGACGAGGCACUACGGUGCUGAAGCAACAAAUGCCCUGCUUCCAGGAAAAGCCUCUAAGCAUCAGGUAACAUCAAAUCGUACCCCAAACCGACACAGGUGGUCAGGUAGAGAAUACCAAGGCGCUUGAGAGAACUCGGGUGAAGGAACUAGGCAAAAUGGUGCCGUAACUUCGGGAGAAGGCACGCUGACACGUAGGUGAAGUGAUUUACUCAUGGAGCUGAAGUCAGUCGAAGAUACCAGCUGGCUGCAACUGUUUAUUAAAAACACAGCACUGUGCAAACACGAAAGUGGACGUAUACGGUGUGACGCCUGCCCGGUGCCGGAAGGUUAAUUGAUGGGGUCAGCGCAAGCGAAGCUCCUGAUCGAAGCCCCGGUAAACGGCGGCCGUAACUAUAACGGUCCUAAGGUAGCGAAAUUCCUUGUCGGGUAAGUUCCGACCUGCACGAAUGGCGUAAUGAUGGCCAGGCUGUCUCCACCCGAGACUCAGUGAAAUUGAACUCGCUGUGAAGAUGCAGUGUACCCGCGGCAAGACGGAAAGACCCCGUGAACCUUUACUAUAGCUUGACACUGAACAUUGAGCCUUGAUGUGUAGGAUAGGUGGGAGGCUUUGAAGUGUGGACGCCAGUCUGCAUGGAGCCGGCCUUGAAAUACCACCCUUUAAUGUUUGAUGUUCUAACGUGGACCCGUAAUCCGGGUUGCGGACAGUGUCUGGUGGGUAGUUUGACUGGGGCGGUCUCCUCCUAAAGAGUAACGGAGGAGCACGAAGGUUGGCUAAUCCUGGUCGGACAUCAGGAGGUUAGUGCAAUGGCAUAAGCCAGCUUGACUGCGAGCGUGACGGCGCGAGCAGGUGCGAAAGCAGGUCAUAGUGAUCCGGUGGUUCUGAAUGGAAGGGCCAUCGCUCAACGGAUAAAAGGUACUCCGGGGAUAACAGGCUGAUACCGCCCAAGAGUUCAUAUCGACGGCGGUGUUUGGCACCUCGAUGUCGGCUCAUCACAUCCUGGGGCUGAAGUAGGUCCCAAGGGUAUGGCUGUUCGCCAUUUAAAGUGGUACGCGAGCUGGGUUUAGAACGUCGUGAGACAGUUCGGUCCCUAUCUGCCGUGGGCGCUGGAGAACUGAGGGGGGCUGCUCCUAGUACGAGAGGACCGGAGUGGACGCAUCACUGGUGUUCGGGUUGUCAUGCCAAUGGCACUGCCCGGUAGCUAAAUGCGGAAGAGAUAAGUGCUGAAAGCAUCUAAGCACGAAACUUGCCCCGA
RNAcentral lists this ribosomal RNA (1527 nucleotides) under Salmonella enterica subsp. enterica serovar Stanley. Its description in RNAcentral is "partial 23S ribosomal RNA". It matches the Rfam family "Bacterial large subunit ribosomal RNA", at positions 1292 to 2802 of the family's 2925-position model. The record is from RNAcentral. Lineage: Bacteria; Pseudomonadati; Pseudomonadota; Gammaproteobacteria; Enterobacterales; Enterobacteriaceae.